Molecule: ribosomal RNA, 432 nt
Filed under: uncultured bacterium
Lineage: Bacteria
Description: partial 16S ribosomal RNA
Rfam family: Bacterial small subunit ribosomal RNA
Source: RNAcentral
ACGAACGCUGGCGGCCUGCCUAACACAUGCAAGUCGAACGAGACCUUCGGGUCUAGUGGCGCACGGGUGCGUAACGCGUGGGAACCUGCCCUUAGGUUCGGAAUAACUCCCCGAAAGGGGUGCUAAUACCGGAUAAUGUCUUCGGACCAAAGAUUUAUCGCCUUUGGAUGGGCCCGCGUUGGUUUAGCUAGUUGGUAGGGUAAAAGCCUACCAAGGCGACGAUCCAUAGCUGGUCUGAGAGGAUGAUCAGCCACACUGGGACUGAGACACGGCCCAGACUCCUACGGGAGGCAGCAGUGGGGAAUAUUGGACAAUGGGCGAAAGCCUGAUCCAGCAAUGCCGCGUGAGUGAUGAAGGCCUUAGGGUUGUAAAGCUCUUUUACCCGGGAUGAUAAUGACAGUACCGGGAGAAUAAGCGCCGGCUAACUCCGUG